This 468-nucleotide ribosomal RNA is filed under the name uncultured bacterium. Its description in RNAcentral is "partial 16S ribosomal RNA". It matches the Rfam family "Bacterial small subunit ribosomal RNA", at positions 28 to 507 of the family's 1533-position model. The record is from RNAcentral.
GGCGAACGCUGGCGGCGUGCUUAACACAUGCAAGUCGAACGGAAAGGCCCUGCUUUUGUGGGGUGCUCGAGUGGCGAACGGGUGAGUAACACGUGAGUAACCUGCCCUUGACUUUGGGAUAACUUCAGGAAACUGGGGCCAAUACCGGAUAGGAGCUCCUGCUGCAUGGUGGGGGUUGGAAAGUUUCGGCGGUUGGGGAUGGACUCGCGGCUUAUCAGCUUGUUGGUGGGGUAGUGGCUUACCAAGGCUUUGACGGGUAGCCGGCCUGAGAGGGUGACCGGCCACAUUGGGACUGAGAUACGGCCCAGACUCCUACGGGAGGCAGCAGUGGGGAAUAUUGCACAAUGGGCGGAAGCCUGAUGCAGCAACGCCGCGUGCGGGAUGACGGCCUUCGGGUUGUAAACCGCUUUCGCCUGUGACGAAGCGUGAGUGACGGUAAUGGGUAAAGAAGCACCGGCUAACUACGUG